RNAcentral lists this long non-coding RNA (573 nucleotides) under Populus trichocarpa (black cottonwood). RNAcentral describes it as "long non-coding RNA (PTRI_LNC001622)". The record is from RNAcentral. Lineage: Eukaryota; Viridiplantae; Streptophyta; Magnoliopsida; Malpighiales; Salicaceae.
CCAUUAUCAUAUAUGUCUAUGGAUCUCACAUUUUGGCCACGGCCCCUGUGGCCAAAUCUUACUAUCCGCAUAAGAAAUCAAAUCAAUGCAUUUAGUUACCAAGGCUAGCUACUUUCUUCAACUGGUCAUGUUAUUUGAAAAAAUCCAACAUUCUUAAGUGGACGGACACAGAGCACUGGUUUACACUUAAGAAUACUCCCCAUCCAGGCAUCAUAUUCGUGAAAUUCUGAGCAUUCUUGGUCAAGGAUAUUCCAUGACCAAGGUGUGGAGGUGCGGUUGUUGAGCGAGUAUGUGGAAGCGGUUUCUAAGCUUCUAGAUCGACAGAAGUUUUGGAACAGGAGUAGAAAACAGAGGUUGCUUAAGAGGCCCAGGGAGACAACAACUAACAAUGCAUGAAUUAUCAAUGAAGCCGCUUCUGGGCUCGUUUUUGCAAAUCACAAAUACUCUAACAGACAGAAACUUGGGCUGAGGCAUGAGACAGAUUCUUAGAGGAAUUUAGGUUUGAAACUGAUUUUGGGCUGGACCUCCAUGUUCGUUGGUCCCUUUUCUCUUCAUGUGAAUGAAAGAUCCGGG